RNAcentral lists this unclassified non-coding RNA (2260 nucleotides) under Eurytemora carolleeae. RNAcentral's name for it is "uncharacterized LOC111703566". Lineage: Eukaryota; Metazoa; Arthropoda; Copepoda; Calanoida; Temoridae. The record is from RNAcentral.
AUUUUUUUCAAAAACGAUCGUUAUUCGUUUUCUGCUAUAUCCCUGAAUAUAUGCUACAAAUAUCCUCUAUCCUAGAGUUGCAUUUAUAUAUAUCCUAUCCUUGAACAUAUGCUACAAAUAUCCUGUAUCCCGGAGUUGCAAAUAGCCUAGAUCCCUGAACACAUGUUACAAAUAUCCAGUAUCUCUGAGUUACGUAUAUUCUUUACCCUGAAUAGAUGCUACAAAUAUCCUGUAUCCCUGAGUUAUGUAUAUCCUAUCCCUGAAUAUAUGCUACAAAUGUCCUGUAUCUCGGAGUUGCGUUGUCAUAUAUCCCUAAACACAUGUUACACAUAUCCUGUAACCUAGAGUUGCAUAUAUCCUAUAUCCUUGAAUAUAUGCUACAAAUAUCCUGUAUCCCAGAGUUGCGAAUAUCCUAUAUCCCUGAACAUGUUUUACAAAUAUCCAGUAUCUCUGAGUUACGUAUAUCCUUUACCCUGAAUAGAUGCUACACAUAUCGUGUAUCCCGGAGUUACGUAUAUCCUAUAUCCCUAAAUAUAUGCUACAUAUAUCCUGUAUCCCUUAGUUGCAUAUAAAUAUAUCCUAUGUCUUAGAACAUAUGCUACAAAUAUCCUAUAUCCCGGAGUUGCAUAUAUCCUAUAUCCCUGAAUAUAUUAUACGUACGUGUAUCCUGAAGUAGCCUCCUCUCACCUCCUCCUCCCAUACCGAGGUUGCUUUAGAUAAUUCCACACCUGGAACUUCCAGUCUUCUUCCAAUCCUCUUAGUUUAGAUACACAUACACAACCACUAGAGCAGAUGUAAUACAGUUCAUUAAACUCUUCAGCUCUGUAGAAUACUCUCUUAGAUUUCGUAGGAAUCUACAUCUGGUCAGCAAUUCCAUUCACUGAGCUAUGGUUUAGUCUGAAAUCUGAUAAAGAUCAAAUACUAACCAUGUAACUUCACUUUUUCCUAAGCAUUAGCAACCCAACAACAAUGGAGUUUAUGGUCUUAAAUGAGGUGAGGUCUCCCUCAAGAAUUUCUGAGAAGCGGAAAUACUUAGUACGGCAGAAAGCUACUGAAGAAAACACUCCCAAUACAUUCACACGGGAAACCUUAUCCCUGUCCCCUUCCAACUGUAAAGUAUCAUCAGUAUUCUCAUUUCGUUCAGAAACUGAGGCACCAAGAAACAACCGUCCGUUGCUGUCUCAUAGCUAUAGAACCCUUUCUGCUGAUUACCGGCCACCAGAAGCUCGACUAAGUGUCCAACGACAGAAAACGGCUGACUCAGCACCAAGUCGAGUUAGCAGCAGAGGAUCCUCACGUCAACAUUCUCUUAGCCAGGGGCAUAGUCGGGUUACUCUCAUUAGAGGAGAAUCCUGCUCCUUGGUUGAUAUCCCAACCUACCUGGGAAGCUCUGUUGAACUUGGACAGCUUGGUAGUCUAAGAAAUCCUCCAAUCCAGCUUGUGUUUGCUUCCACCAGACCAAGACUAAGAAUAGAUUUGACCAAGAAGAAGCCAGAAAAGUCGGCAAAGAAGACACAGUGGACAGUUCUGUGUGUGGCUGUGGCUAUGAUGACAAUGUGCGUAAUGUUGGUCGGUACAAUGCUCUCCAUAACAUCAGAAUAUCAGGACAAGAAAGUGUCAGACAUGAUAAUGAAAAAUCAGCCAGAAAUAUCAGAGAAACGGAAUUUACGCUAUCAUCAGAAUAGGCACUCGACCCUAAGACCGGAGUCAAGCAGUUCUGAAACUGGUUACAGAGAAACCACCGUUUCAUCAAUGCUGCCCAAUAUCAAAUAUUCAGACAUUGAUGUUAUUAGAUUUAAAGCAGUAUAUACAUAGCGGUGUUUAGAUAAUUUGCCAAACAUCGGACGUCCAAGAUCUGAUGAAGUAAGUUCCGUAUUAUCUAGCAUUAACAGGAACUUAUUGCACUGGCUCUUUACAAUCAAAACUUUAUCUCAGAUCUUAAUUCCAUGAACGUUUUCAAUUUUCAAUUCAAAUUACUAUCGACAAAUAUCUUUUUCUGUUUCUGUUUUAUGAAAUAAUGGCAUCCUGUUGUCUUUAUUUUUAACUUGAUCAGAUAAAGGUAUAUUUGUGUUCGCUCAUAAAUCAAAGUUUUUUAAAAUUUUGCCCCUGAAUAAAAUAUUUGUCUAUUUCAUUGAUAAUCAUUUUGAUAAAAGUAUAUCAUAAAAUUCGCCACUGUGAUCAGUAUAAUUGUAAUAUAAAUAGAUAUUUAAAUUGUACCAACGUUUUUAACUAAUAUGUUUAAUAAAAAUACAUAAUUGGA